CGUUACCUUAUGGUAACCAAUCAAUGUUCCAGCAAUCUGAGAGGAACGCCUUUGGGUGAUUGCAAAUAUCAAUGUUCUAGUAGUCUGAGAGGAACGCUUUCGGGUGACUGCACCAUCUGCCACACCUGAAAAGGCAGACAGUAAACACUCUGGGUAAAC
RNAcentral lists this small RNA (159 nucleotides) under Xenorhabdus eapokensis. RNAcentral describes it as "STAXI". It matches the Rfam family "STAXI RNA". The record is from RNAcentral. Lineage: Bacteria; Pseudomonadati; Pseudomonadota; Gammaproteobacteria; Enterobacterales; Morganellaceae.